AUGCCUGGGAAAAACACAAGGCCAGAUGUUUUAGCUAGUGAUACAGUCCUGUUGGCUUCGCUGGUGCAAAGGAGAGAAUUUGACCAGUAACUUUAAAGGAAGAAUGAGAAUACUUCAUAAAAUUCAGAUCUCAGUUCAGAAGAAGAGCAUGAAGCUACCUUAUGCCCUGCUGAAACACCUGUAGGGAGCCUCAAGACACAUUGGUUCUGGUUAUUUAUUACAACUCCUUAUUCACUGGGAGUAACAAUUAAUACAGGCGUGCAGGAAACAUACAGAUUGCAGGCGAUUGGAGUCCCUUGUGCUGCAAAUUGCUGGAGAAAUCUACUGUCACAACAGCCUUCUCAUCUUGUAUUCCUGCUUGUCCCUGCUCAGCUGGCCAAAUGGAAGAACUCCUUGCCAGAUGCCUGUUUCUUUUCAGCCCUGUGCCUGUCUCCUCUUGGCUCACGGGCCAUCUCUAUGUAGUUCUAUUCCGCUCUCCGCCUGAACCAGCUCAGAAAUGCAUGCUUUGUCUAGUAGCUAGAAAAGAACAGGCAGUUGCAUUCAGCCAAAACCCCAUGACAUUGGAAACGGAUGAGAAAUUGAAGUGAGACAAUCUUGAGGGAACUGCAAGGUCCGUGGAGUCUUUGGAAAUCUGACUGCCUAUUUUGGGUAAUGAGGCAUAGAUUUCAGAGUCUGCCUUCAGUCACUUCAGUGUCCAAAUCUUGACCUAAUGGUCUAAGUUAUAUUUUGCAGCUUUGAUCACAUAGUCACAUAAGUGUUUUUGUUCAUUUAUGGUAAGAGAUUCACUAGCCAUUGUUUCUCCUCUGAGACACCAGAGAAAGCACACUGCCAGUUGUCUACAGCAAAUCAUACAGAAUCAUAGAAUCAUAGAAUGGCCUGGGUUGAAAAGGACCACAGUGAUCAUCAAGUUUCAGCCCCCUGCUAUUAUGUGCAGGGUUGCCAACCACCAGACCAGGCUGCCCAGAGCCACAUCCAGCCUGGCCUUGAAUGCCUCCAGGGAUGGGGCAUCCACAACCUCCUUGGGCAACCUGUUCCAAUGUGUCACCACCCUCUGUGUGAAAAACUUCCUCCUAAUAUCUAACCUAAACACUUUGAUAAGCAGCAGAUCUUGGACCAGGCGAUACCUGUGAGCCAGAUAGAUGCACCUGAGAAUUUGUUCAGCUAUGCCAGUUUGGGGAGGGGAGGCAAUGAGCAGCAUAUAGCAGAGGGCAGCAACAGGCAGCAGCUGGCAUUCCCCAGCAGCCAGUUUGCCAGCCUGAUGUAACAGGUAUAUAUGUUCACAUAUGUCAAUAUGUAUUCACAUAAAUGCAUGCUACGGAUAAAGCAGCUCACU
Molecule: long non-coding RNA, 1333 nt
Filed under: Gallus gallus (chicken)
Lineage: Eukaryota; Metazoa; Chordata; Aves; Galliformes; Phasianidae
Description: lncRNA (ENSGALG00010023562.1)
Source: RNAcentral